CAGCCGCCACGGUAAUACGAAGGGUGCAAGCGUUACUCGGAAUUACUGGGCGUAAAGCGUGCGUAGGUGGUUCGUUAAGUCUGAUGUGAAAGCCCUGGGCUCAACCUGGGAAUUGCAUUGGAUACUGGCGAGCUAGAGUGUGGUAGAGGGUAGUAGAAUUCCAGGUGUAGCAGUGAAAUGCGUAGAGAUCUGGAGGAACAUCGGUGGCGAAGGCGACUACCUGGACCAGCACUGACACUGAGGCACGAAAGCGUGGGGAGCAAACAGGAUUAGAUACCCCAGUAGUCCCUGUCUCUUAUAC
Molecule: ribosomal RNA, 301 nt
Filed under: uncultured bacterium
Lineage: Bacteria
Description: partial 16S ribosomal RNA
Rfam family: Bacterial small subunit ribosomal RNA
Source: RNAcentral